UGGAGCUUUAAACCCGACAGCACCCACUUAUUUAACACCUUCUUAUCCGCCUGGCCCCUGUCUGCUCGGUUUUGGGUUGGGGUGACCGCGGAGCAUAAAAUAGCCUCCACGAAAGAAGGGAUGAUUCCCUCAUUUUAGAACUACACUUCCAAAGACUAACAAAUUAAUUUUAAGUGAUCCGAUACCCGUAUUCGAUCAACGAACCAAGUUACCCUGGGGAUAACAGCGCAAUCUACCUCAAGAGCCCCUAUCGACAGGUGGGUUUACGACCUCGAUGUUGGAUCAGGGUAUCCCAGUGGUGCAGCAGCUACCAAAGGUUCGUUUGUUCAACGAUUAAAACCCU
RNAcentral lists this ribosomal RNA (343 nucleotides) under Boophis reticulatus. RNAcentral describes it as "partial 16S ribosomal RNA". It matches the Rfam family "Bacterial large subunit ribosomal RNA", at positions 2094 to 2597 of the family's 2925-position model. The record is from RNAcentral. Lineage: Eukaryota; Metazoa; Chordata; Amphibia; Anura; Mantellidae.